This 307-nucleotide unclassified non-coding RNA is filed under the name plant metagenome. RNAcentral describes it as "partial contains 5.8S ribosomal RNA, internal transcribed spacer 2, and large subunit ribosomal RNA". The stretch from base 1 to 105 matches the Rfam family "5.8S ribosomal RNA", at positions 50 to 154 of the family's 154-position model. The record is from RNAcentral.
GAAAUGCGAUAAGUAGUGUGAAUUGCAGAAUUUAGCGAAUCAUCGAAUCUUUGAACGCACAUUGCGCCCCUUGGUAUUCCAUGUGGCAUGCCUGUUCGAGCGUCAUUUCAACCCUCAAGCACUGCUUGGUGUUGGGCGUUUGUCCCGCCUACGCGCGUGGACUCGCCUCAAAGUCAUUGGCAGCUGUUCCCCUUCGGCUCGUAAGCGCAGCACAGUCGGCGCCCGGAGCUCUGGUGGGAUGGCGUCCAGCAAGCUAUAUUUUCAGGCUUGACCUCGGAUCAGGUAGGGAUACCCGCUGAACUUAAGC